CAGAAAUAGGAGUUCCUUGCAGCCCAAAACAUGUAGUAAAAAAUUCAUGCUGUUUUGGACUGAAGGGAGCUCCUAGUUCUU
This is a microRNA precursor of Lupinus angustifolius (narrow-leaved blue lupine), 81 nucleotides long. It matches the Rfam family "MIR319 microRNA precursor family". The record is from Rfam. Lineage: Eukaryota; Viridiplantae; Streptophyta; Magnoliopsida; Fabales; Fabaceae.